UCCUGCUGAAAUUAGCAUUGCUGUUAUUCAGAGCCAUUUCAAUGCCUGAAGUUAAUAUUUCACCUCAUGUUUUCAAUAAUCUCUACUUUUCUGAUUACGCAAGUGCAUUAGACACCAGCCAUAAGAGUGUCAGACUUACUUUAUUCAGAUUCUAGUCACUGACUGAACAAAACACUAGGUGUACUCGACAUAAUGGAAGCUUCUUGUCCACCAGCUUUCAUUCUCCAAACGGGAUUAACACUGCAGUUCUUCAUGAGGAAAACCAAGAUGUCUGUAAGAGGUUGUUUAGUUGAAAUUAAGAGAUUUUAUUAACAAGCUUUCCCUAUUCUUUGCAGUGGACUGUUGGGAUUCUUUCUGAUGUUGCAUACAGUGAAGCUAAAAAGCAGCACAACCUCAGGGCAAUAUGCAGCCUGGAGUUUCCUUGCAAAGGUUAUCACUGCUAGCUUAUCACCAUUCUUCUUUGUCAUGACUGCCAAUGUACUAACAAUUUCUUGCCUUGUGGUCGGUGGAGUUGGAGAAGCAUUGCUUGUUUACACUGAAAGGACAGGCACAUAAAGAGGAACCAUAUCUCACCAGUUGGAACAGAGCUGACUCGCAGCCUAGAGACACUAUAAUGAAAAAAGCAGCAGCAGGAAUGAAGAAGUGCAACGAAACAUGAGGAAAGGGAUCUAUUGUUUUUUUUUUAAUUAAGAAAAGAACCUAUGCUAUUAAUAGUGCUGGUAAGGGAGCAGCAUAUUUGGCAGAGAUGGUAAGGAGCUUUUGCCUCAAAGCACAAGACCAACUAUAUCAGAUUGAUGUGGUAAAGAAAGAACUGCACUGUAUCAUGCUGAUGGCUCUGUGUGAGCACCACUCAGUAGCAGCUUCUAGCACAGGGAGCUAAACUCAGGAAAAGCAGCAUUCCCCACUGGAUGCCCCCAGUGGCUUUUUUUUUGUUUGAAGCAGACAGCAGGUCAUACCAAAUGAUGUAUAAAUUCAGGAUCUGGAAGGAUGGAUUUUGCCUCCAACUGUUCUGUAAGCAGCAAGCUGCCACACACAGGUCUCUAGUCAUGUUGUCUGAACUGGCACAGGGACUGAGGCCAAAGGGCUUGUGGAGAUAAUCCCCUUCUGGAACUGUGGCAGUUUGACAGCCUUUCAGAAAGGGAAAAUCAGCAAUAAAUCUCAAUAUCUGUAGUGAUUGCUCUUUGUGAAUUUUUUUCUCUCCCAUUCGCUGAGAUUUCUCUUGAACUCUGCCAAUUUUUGUCAGCUGGAGGGGGUGGAGGGACACGUACUGUUCCCAGCAGUGGUUUGUCUCUUAAAUUAUUGCAAGAGGAAACAAAGAACAUGAACCUUGAAUGAAUGUCAUAAAGAGUAUAAGGAAAUUAAUCUCAAGAGUUCUUAAAGUAAUUUCACUUCUAGUUGUUUAAUGGCUGUUAGAAAUUAGUCUUGAUAUAUUAGAGCCUGCAAUCUAUGUGAAAGUAAUAUUAAAUGAUGAGUUUAUAUUGUGGGAAAGGUCUACAUGGUAAAAGGAACUUGAUAACAAAUCUUCAAUGAGGAAAGAGACUUGUCUCACUUGUUGUUAGAGAUGUAAAGUAUAGUCCCUCAAUCUAAGCUGACCAAGUUUCCUUCAUGGUAAAUGGAAAGAGGGUUGCCCUCACAGAGAUGAUCCUUCUUGAAUGGAUUGCUGUGUUAGGAAGUGCAUAUUUCUCUAUAGAUAGAAACUGGGUAACUAGUCUAGACAAGACACAUGGUUUCUACAAGGCUACAGUUACUGGAGGCUUCAAUCUAACAUAUUCCACCAGAUGGGCUUGAAAAUAUGGCUACAUUUUAAUUUCAAAUAAAACACCAUAGGUUAACAAAGAAGGUAAAUUUUACAAAUGUUUGCAGUCAGUUUCUAUGACUGGAGAAUUUUAAAAAGAGAUUAGUUGAUUUUCAGGAAAAAAAAUUGCUGCAAAGAGAAGCCUAAAAGGUAAGUACUCUGGUCAAUAUUGUACCUAAGCUGAUCUCAGUCUAUCACAAAAGGUCUCUUCACAUGGGCAUGUUGUCUGUGUAUGGUGGGUCCCACUCUGGCUUGAGUUCAGUGUGAGCCAUUUUUUAGCCAGGUGGUAAAACUCAGGUUUGGGAAGAAAGGGGGAAGAGAGGGACAAGCAUGAAAAAAUAAGUGCUUGAACUUGAGCACUAGUCCAGAAACCAGC
This is a long non-coding RNA of Camarhynchus parvulus, 2171 nucleotides long. Lineage: Eukaryota; Metazoa; Chordata; Aves; Passeriformes; Thraupidae. The record is from Ensembl.